UUGGAAGAACAAAUAGACAAAAAUAUGCCUCUGAAGCAGAAAUGUAACUUCACAAUUUUUCCACAUCCACUGCACCGAGAAUAAGUAGAUUCAAGAAAAUGCCUAUGUGAGCCCGAGCUCACAGGAGCUCGGAAUCAGUACCAUUUAUUCAUCUCGGGAUCUAUGCCGCAGACUGUAUAGCAAUAGAUAUGUGCUCCUCGUUCUUAUUUCCCGAAAUAGCAUGUGGCCCACGGAUUAGAUAAGUCCGUCAGUUAGCUGCGACGCGGAUCAGACGGACGAGGACGGAUUGGGCCGUUUAGUCAUCGAUUCGUGCUCACCGUACCCCUCUUUUGCAUCUUCAUUCGCUUGCAACUCAUGAGCAGCAACAUUCGGUUCACCUCCUUCCCCUGCCUCUCCAACUUCGCCACCGGCGCUAACCUGAAAAAAAUCACAUUGGAUUAGCACAAUGGCUACAAUAUUAGUAGCUAUCAACGACUGGUUUGCUCAAACACCUGGAGAGAGAGCGAGGAAACCACAGAGUUCUCGCUACUCACAGGCACACGAUCAUCUCCCUGGUUAACUGACGCUUCUGAAUUUGCGUUUACCUGCAUUGGCCUACUAUCAGAUUUACAUAGUCAGGAAGAAGAGUAUUCAAGAUUCAGACAGCAUAGCAAGCGUACCUGAAUCGAACCAUUGCAGCCUUGGAG
RNAcentral lists this long non-coding RNA (686 nucleotides) under Triticum aestivum (bread wheat). RNAcentral describes it as "long non-coding RNA (TAES_LNC012454)". The record is from RNAcentral. Lineage: Eukaryota; Viridiplantae; Streptophyta; Magnoliopsida; Poales; Poaceae.